This is a long non-coding RNA of Oncorhynchus nerka (sockeye salmon), 1376 nucleotides long. RefSeq lists it as uncharacterized. Lineage: Eukaryota; Metazoa; Chordata; Actinopteri; Salmoniformes; Salmonidae. The record is from RefSeq and is a predicted model, not a curated record. The transcript has 3 exons.
CUGGCUGCCCAUUGCCCACACACAGACACGCGCGCACGCACACACACACACACACACAUAGGCGCGCGCGCAAUAACAUCACAAGUCCGUAGCCUACCUUCCGUGUGACAGCUGGAGGAGAGGAUGGUGCUUGAGGGUCUGAAGAGGUAUACAGACGAGGAGGCAUACAAAGGUAUGUCAAUUGGUAUUGGUAUUAAUAUGCAGAUCACAUUUACCAUCCUCCUCCCUUACCUCUUCAAUGAAUAUCCCAUAGGCCUCUACAUUAUGGACAAGACUUCACCCUCCCUACACCUCUGAUGAAUAUAACAGGAAACCUGUUUGAUCACCAUGCACUGCAAAAUCAUUCUGGCUGUGGAUACGGAGAACAUCAACACAUUAACAUCAACAUACCAGAGGAUAUACCCAUUGGACAUGGGUCUCUGCUGGGAGUUUACCUCAUAUUUGGAUUUUUUAAUUCUGCUUUACCACUAAAAUCAUAAGAAACACUGACAACUAAAAUAUUAUGCUAUUAUUGUUAUUGCUUUUAUUGUUAAGUGUAUUAUUAUUAACAAUAAUAAUAAUAGGAGAGGGGGUGUAGUUAAAAAAUAUACCCCAAAAGGUUCAUCGAGGAUCCAUUAAAAAAGGCAUUCUUUGAAGAACCCUUUUUUAAAAAUGACUAGAUGUUGUUGUGGUCCUGUUGUGGACGCAAUUUAGUUUAUUUCGUUCCAACAAUCCUGUUUCUAAGCUCCAAAGACUGCACUCUCAGGAGAAUUUAACAAUAAGGGAGAUGGACCGGCUCCCUCGUGGGACUCCUCUGAAAACACAGCAUAUGGCCAGCUACUGAUGAUGUAAUACAAGCAGGCUGUCUACUGGAGGCAUUAGAGUGGCAGGGUUGCAUCUCUCCUGAGUCAUUAAAGGUGUGUAGUGUGUGGCAGAUGUGUCAUUUAUUGGAGUGCAGUAUUGAAUAAUGACAUUCUACAAACAAUGACCAUGCAACGAGCAACGUUUUAUUCUCCGAAAGGCUUCUAUAUCAUUGUUCGAAAAUUUACGCCAUAGGGAACUGCAUCCACUUAUAACUGUGGUACACCCAGUGUACAUAACACAAAGAAUCUUGUCGGUCACAGAGAAUGAUCGAAUCCAACGAAGCAUAUGAUAAGGUGAUUAACUCUCUCCUCAGAGAGGAAUAGUCAUCACCAUCAUUAGCAGCUUGACACCACCACAAACACCCUGGUGGGGAUCCAUCUACUAGGCUCUCAUGACUGGGUUUCCCCUACUGAUUAGCAGGCAGAUCCCGUUCCCAUCAUUACUAAUAUAACUGUUUUUUUUCUAUUCUCCAGGGUGUGGAGAAUCUGUCUGUUGCUCAUGUACAGUACCAGUCAAAAGCUGACACACCUACU